Molecule: small nucleolar RNA, 132 nt
Filed under: Dasypus novemcinctus (nine-banded armadillo)
Lineage: Eukaryota; Metazoa; Chordata; Mammalia; Cingulata; Dasypodidae
Description: Small nucleolar RNA SNORA31 (ENSDNOG00000036283.1)
Rfam family: Small nucleolar RNA SNORA31
About the family: ACA31 (SNORA31) belongs to the H/ACA class of snoRNAs which are thought to guide the sites of modification of uridines to pseudouridines. ACA31 is predicted to guide the pseudouridylation of U3713 in 28S rRNA and U218 in 18S rRNA.
Source: RNAcentral
AUGCAUGUCUGACAGCCCUGGAGCAGUUAAUGUCUGCUGCCAAGGUUUCCACUACAGACGCAAGAAAAAGAAGUCCUCGCACUGUCUGUCUGUCUGGUUGUGGCAGCCAAGACUGAAUGGGAGAACACAGGA